UACGGAGGGGACUAGCGUUGUUCGGAAUUACUGGGCGUAAAGCGCACGUAGGCGGAUUUGUAAGUCAGGGGUGAAAUCCCGGGGCUCAACCUCGGAACUGCCUUUGAUACUGCAAAUCUCGAGUCCGGAAGAGGUGAGUGGAAUUCCUAGUGUAGAGGUGAAAUUCGUAGAUAUUAGGAAGAACACCAGUGGCGAAGGCAGGUCUCUGGGCUGACACUGACGCUCAUGCACGAAAGCGUGGGGAGCAAACAGG
This 253-nucleotide ribosomal RNA is filed under the name uncultured bacterium. Its description in RNAcentral is "partial 16S ribosomal RNA". It matches the Rfam family "Bacterial small subunit ribosomal RNA", at positions 524 to 776 of the family's 1533-position model. The record is from RNAcentral.